This 372-nucleotide ribosomal RNA is filed under the name uncultured bacterium. RNAcentral's name for it is "bacterial SSU rRNA". It matches the Rfam family "Bacterial small subunit ribosomal RNA", at positions 524 to 898 of the family's 1533-position model. The record is from RNAcentral.
UACAGAGAGGGCAAGCGUUGUCCGGAAUGACUGGGCGUAAAGCGCGCGCAGGCGGUCUUUUAAGUUGGGUGUGAAAUCCCCGGGCUUAACCUGGGAACUGCAUUCGAUACUGGAAGACUAGAGGCCGAGAGAGGAAAGCGGAAUGACGAGUGUAGAGGUGAAAUUCGUAGAUAUUCGUCGGAACACCAGAGGCGAAGGCGGCUUUCUGGCUCGGACCUGACGCUCAGGCGCGAAAGCGUGGGGAGCAAACAGGAUUAGAUACCCUGGUAGUCCACGCCCUAAACGAUGAGUGCUAGAUGUCGGAUUUUCGGAUUCGGUGUCGCAGCUAACGCACUAAGCACUCCGCCUGGGGAGUACGGUCGCAAGAUUAAA